CCUGAGUCUGCUCAGGAAGAAGAGGAAUGACCUUAAAAUGACAUGGUUCAGUGCAAAGGAAGACCUGACCCUGACAAGAUUUAGUCUUGCAGCCCCAACA
Lagopus leucura (white-tailed ptarmigan) is the source of this 100-nucleotide long non-coding RNA. RefSeq lists it as uncharacterized. NCBI's taxonomy places the organism in Eukaryota, Metazoa, Chordata, Aves, Galliformes, Phasianidae. The transcript is spliced from 3 exons. The record is from RefSeq and is a predicted model, not a curated record.